UCUAAUAUGGCAGAUUAGUGCAAUGGAUUUAAACCCCACAUAUAAAGUAUUUCUUUUUUUAGAA
RNAcentral lists this transfer RNA (64 nucleotides) under Neopsylla paranoma. RNAcentral's name for it is "tRNA-Leu". Lineage: Eukaryota; Metazoa; Arthropoda; Insecta; Siphonaptera; Ctenophthalmidae. The record is from RNAcentral.